This 253-nucleotide ribosomal RNA is filed under the name uncultured bacterium. Its description in RNAcentral is "partial 16S ribosomal RNA". It matches the Rfam family "Bacterial small subunit ribosomal RNA", at positions 524 to 776 of the family's 1533-position model. The record is from RNAcentral.
UACGAAGGGGGCUAGCGUUGCUCGGAAUCACUGGGCGUAAAGCGCACGUAGGCGGGUUGCUAAGUCAGGGGUGAAAUCCUGGAGCUCAACUCCAGAACUGCCUUUGAUACUGGCGGCCUUGAGUCCGGGAGAGGUGAGUGGAACUGCGAGUGUAGAGGUGAAAUUCGUAGAUAUUCGCAAGAACACCAGUGGCGAAGGCGGCUCACUGGCCCGGUACUGACGCUGAGGAGCGAAAGCGUGGGGAGCGAACAGG